CUUACACUUAGUAUUUUGUUAUCUAUGAUAGUGAACGAGAGCCGACAGGUACUCCAGGAACCUGAGGGAUACAAAUAGUCCUAUCAUAAGGAAAUCAAGAGGAACUUCCACUCAAGGGACAUCCACACAUGCUUCUUCAACUCAGCUGGCCAUGGUGGGUGGCCAGAGAAGCAAAGCAGGGAGUGUCCACAGCAAAGUGAGCAGCUACUACGGCAGCCUCCAAAGGUCCUGUGAUGGCAGGUACACUCCCUGCAGUUACAGAGGAAUGGAGGAGAGACUACCUCAUGGCAGCAUGUCACGACUUACAGAUCACUCCAGGCACAGUAGUUCCCAUCAGCUCAGUGAACAGUUAACAACAUAGCAGCAUCAGAGAUCUCAGUAAUAAUCCUAUGACUCACAUCACACAUGGUACCAGCAUGAAUCAGGUUAUUGAAGAAGAUGGAACCAGUGCUCAAAUUGUCCUAAGGUGAAUUUGUGCUGUUUAAAAAGAAGAUUUUAUUCUUUGCCUUUGCAUGACUGAUUGCUAUAACUCAGUUAUGAUGCUUUCAGUCAGGUGCAGAUUGUGUCCGUUGAGAAGUGAAUUUUUGCUUUUUAUAUUGCAUCAAACUUGGAACCUCAAGGCAUCCAAAAUGCUAAGAAUGAUAUGAUCACAUAAAUAACUCUUAUUUCUAGGUUAUGAAGAAAUAAUUAUUUGUCUGGUAAGCAUUUUUAUAAACACACUUGUUUUAUAUUUGGAAAAAUCCUUAAUGUAUGAUGACUGCUUUAUAGUGAACUUUCAUAUAAUAUCAACUAGUUGUGAGGUAACAUUCUGGUAGUUAGUUCUGUUAAUAAAACAAAUUUUUAGAAUUAAAGAAAUUUUCUAUGCAAGGUUUAUUUCUCAGAUGAAUAGUAGGACUUUGUAGUUUUCUUUCCGCUAAGUGAAAAAGAACUGUUUUUAAAACGUAGGAGAAUUUGAUAAAUCAGCAAGGGUGUUUUAGCUAAUAGAAUAUAAAAUCAACUGAAGAAUCUGAUUAGUCUACUGAGACUCUUUUGAAAUUCUGUCAAAAUAGUCUUUAUCCAGAGAAAUACAGGAGUAGGAUUAGCAACAGAGUGAAAGCAGAGAUGGGCAUUUUUUUUCUCAGUAAUUGUGCUGUUUUUAUUACCUUAGUUAAAUAUUACUUUUACUGACUGUGUUUUUAUAUUGAUAACUUAUCCAUAGCAUGACAGAAAAUGUUUACUUUUAGCCAUUUUUUUCCCAUUUAGUAGUAUUGAUUUGUAGAGAACUUCAUGUUCAGAUAUGUUCUAUGGAAGCAUGUAAUAAGAUAAGCAUCACACACUGUAAGCCUUUCUGUAGUAACCAUAGUUACAAAACAGCAGAGUGUUUCCUCUGUAUCUGUUAUUGUGUUUUUUGCAGUGAGAUCUAAUCUUGCCAAAGCUGCCAGAUGUUGGUAUCCAGGCCCCUCCUAUCAGUGGACUUGUUUGCACUUGCAUUGCCCAGUAGCCAAUAAGCUAUAGCUUUUGCCCCACACCCAUAUCUUUAGAUUCUGGGUCAUUCUGGGUCAUUUAGAUUCUUGUUUACAGCUGAAAUAUAUAUAUAAUCCAAUUCAUUGUAGCUUAAUGAAGCAUGAUUAGUCCUGCUGUGAAGUAUCUUUUAACUUUAAAAAUAUAAACUCAAAAACCUUUGA
Capra hircus (goat) is the source of this 1664-nucleotide long non-coding RNA. RefSeq lists it as uncharacterized. The transcript has 2 exons. The record is from RefSeq and is a predicted model, not a curated record. NCBI's taxonomy places the organism in Eukaryota, Metazoa, Chordata, Mammalia, Artiodactyla, Bovidae.